RNAcentral lists this non-coding RNA (95 nucleotides) under Paramoeba aestuarina. Lineage: Eukaryota; Discosea; Flabellinia; Dactylopodida; Paramoebidae. The record is from RNAcentral.
UGGGAUUAUGCGUCACCCCCGCUAUUGAUGAAAGGACCCUUCUGACUGGUGGGGCGUCACAAGCAGAUUUGGCACAUCGAAUGAGUUACAUUGGG